Molecule: long non-coding RNA, 276 nt
Filed under: Linum usitatissimum (flax)
Lineage: Eukaryota; Viridiplantae; Streptophyta; Magnoliopsida; Malpighiales; Linaceae
Description: long non-coding RNA (LUSI_LNC000763)
Source: RNAcentral
GCGGCCCUGCCCGCCGUAGUAGCUCCGAUUCAGCUACUCGUGUAGCCAGGGAUUCAUUCCCCUCCUCUGGAUCUCCCGCCUUCUCUGGGUUCGAUUCCGACUUUGCUGCGGAGAAGAAAGGUCAUCCUCUGCCUCGCCCCUCCGUCAGUGAUCGCGGCGGCGGCUUCGGUGAUCAGGGGUUCGGUUCUGCUUCCGGUUCCGUAUCUAGUGUCAGCUCUACUGGCUCUGAUGAGCAGCACCAGAUUGUGAAUAUUGAUCAGCAGGCUAGCUUCUUUG